Molecule: ribosomal RNA, 497 nt
Filed under: uncultured bacterium
Lineage: Bacteria
Description: partial 16S ribosomal RNA
Rfam family: Bacterial small subunit ribosomal RNA
Source: RNAcentral
GAUGAACGCUGGCGGCGUGCCUAAUACAUGCAAGUCGAGCGAACAGACGAGGAGCUUGCUCCUCUGACGUUAGCGGCGGACGGGUGAGUAACACGUGGAUAACCUACCUAUAAGACUGGGAUAACUUCGGGAAACCGGAGCUAAUACCGGAUAAUAUAUUGAACCGCAUGGUUCAAUAGUGAAAGACGGUUUUGCUGUCACUUAUAGAUGGAUCCGCGCCGCAUUAGCUAGUUGGUAAGGUAACGGCUUACCAAGGCGACGAUGCGUAGCCGACCUGAGAGGGUGAUCCGGCACACCGGAACUGAGACACGGUCCAGACUCCUACGGGAGGCAGCAGUAGGGAAUCUUCCGCAAAGGGCGAAAGCCUGACGGAGCAACGCCGCGUGAGUGAUGAAGGUCUUCGGAUCGUAAAACUCUGUUAUUAGGGAAGAACAAAUGUGUAAGUAACUAUGCACGUCUUGACGGUACCUAAUCAGAAAGCCACGGCUAACUACGUG